Molecule: transfer RNA, 28 nt
Filed under: Elaenia albiceps albiceps
Lineage: Eukaryota; Metazoa; Chordata; Aves; Passeriformes; Tyrannidae
Description: partial tRNA-Met
Source: RNAcentral
AAUGAUGGUUUAAUCCCUUCCCUUACUA